GCGCAGCAGGCGCGAAACUUCGCAAUGCGCGAAAGCGCGACGAGGGGAUUCCAAGUGCAUGCACUAAGUGUAUGCUUUUCGUGAAGUUUAAAACGCUCACGGAAUAAGGGCUGGGUAAGACUGGUGCCAGCCGCCGCGGUAAUACCAGCGGCCCUAGUGGUGAUCGUUAUUAUUGGGCCUAAAGCGUCCGUAGCCGGUCCGGUAAAUCUCUGGGUAAAUCGUUGGGCUUAACUCAGCGAAUUCUGGGGAGACUGCUGGACUUGGGGACCGGGAGAGGUCGGAGGUACUCCGAGGGGUAGGGGUGAAAUCCUGUAAUCCGUUGGGGACCACCGGUGGCGAAGGCGUCCGACCAGAACGGGUCCGACGGUAAGGGACGAAGCCCGUGGGGCGCGAACCGGAUUAGACUACCCCCGUAGU
This 417-nucleotide ribosomal RNA is filed under the name uncultured microorganism. Its description in RNAcentral is "bacterial SSU rRNA". It matches the Rfam family "Archaeal small subunit ribosomal RNA", at positions 330 to 745 of the family's 1478-position model. The record is from RNAcentral.